Molecule: ribosomal RNA, 439 nt
Filed under: uncultured bacterium
Lineage: Bacteria
Description: partial 16S ribosomal RNA
Rfam family: Bacterial small subunit ribosomal RNA
Source: RNAcentral
CCUACGGGAGGCAGCAGUGGGGGAUAUUGCACAAUGGGGGGAACCCUGAUGCAGCGACGCCGCGUGGGUGAAGGAGCGUUUCGGCGCGUAAAGCCCUAUCGGCAGGGAAGAAGAUGAGUGUACCUGAAGAAAAAGCAUCGGCUAACUCCGUGCCAGCAGCCGCGGUAAUACGGAGGCUGCGAGCGUUAUCCGGAUUUAUUGGGUUUUAAGGGUGCGCAGGCGGUCUGUUAGGUCAGCGGUCAAAGCCCGGGGCUCACCCCCGGCCCGCCGUUGAACCUGGCAGUCUCGAGUUGGAGAGAAGUAUGCGGAAUGCGCGGUGUAGCGGUGAAAUGCAUAGAUAUCGCGCAGAACUCCGAUUGCGAAGGCAGCAUGCCGGCUCCACACUGACGCUGAGGCACGAAAGCGUGGGUAUCGAACAGGAUUAGAUACCCCAGUAGUC